AAUGGACCUGUGAUGUUAUUGAUAUAUCUGCGUUAUCUAUCUGCAACUUCCUAAAAGGAAUUGAAGAAGACGAUAACAUACUGAGAUCUAAU
This is a small nucleolar RNA of Cephalotus follicularis, 92 nucleotides long. It matches the Rfam family "Small nucleolar RNA snoR27". Lineage: Eukaryota; Viridiplantae; Streptophyta; Magnoliopsida; Oxalidales; Cephalotaceae. The record is from Rfam.